CGGAACACGUACAGAACCUUCCUUUAAGCGGGGGAUAGCCCAUAGAAAUGUGGAUUAAUACCCCAUAGUAAUAUUGAUUGGCAUCAAUUGAUAUUUAAAGAUUUAUCACUUAAAGAUGGCUGUGCGGCUGAUUAGGUAGUUGGUGUGGGUAACGGCCCACCAAGCCAGCGAUGGGUAACUGGUGUGAGAGCACGACCAGUCACACGGGCACUGAGACACGGGCCCG
RNAcentral lists this ribosomal RNA (226 nucleotides) under uncultured bacterium. RNAcentral describes it as "partial 16S ribosomal RNA". It matches the Rfam family "Bacterial small subunit ribosomal RNA", at positions 109 to 334 of the family's 1533-position model. The record is from RNAcentral.